Phyllostomus discolor (pale spear-nosed bat) is the source of this 1745-nucleotide long non-coding RNA. RefSeq lists it as uncharacterized. The record is from RefSeq and is a predicted model, not a curated record. Lineage: Eukaryota; Metazoa; Chordata; Mammalia; Chiroptera; Phyllostomidae. The transcript is spliced from 3 exons.
AGCAGCUGCUGUGCUUGAGCCUGGGAAAACUCCGCCCCCUGCCCCUGGCCCGGGCUCAUUGGCGCGCGCUGCGUGUGGGGUGUGGGGUGUGUGUGUAUGUGCGUGUGUCCGGGGGGGCCUCCUCCUCCUCCUCUUCCAGCCCCCGCCGGGCCAGGAAUCCGAGGGGGUGGCGGGCUGGGAGCGGAGCCCCGGCGCUUACCACCCCUCAUCCCCUCCUUCCCCCGCCAAGGUCAGCCCUUCCGGGCGGGGAGCGCACGACCCAGGGUGGAGAGUGGGGAAUUAUUCCAACCCCCACUCCACCCCAGAUUUCAGGCUUGGGGUUUUAACUCGACCGAAAGCCUCACUAGCGGCAGCCCGGGGUGGGGGGUGGGUAGGGGCCUUCUUGUUUGCUCCUUGCCCCGGCCAGUCCUCCUUCCUUCCCCCCGCGGGGCCCCCGGCGCCCGCCGCGGUCACGAGAUGCCUGACCGCACUUAGGAAGCGGCCGGGUCAGCCUCCAGCCUCAACUUGGCGACUGCGGUUAAAGCGGCUUCGCGCCACCCGCCUCUUCCCGGGGUCUAGGGCAGCCGGGCAGCUCCCCCUCACUGCACCCGGGAGGCCGCCGGCGGGCGGCAGGGAGGAGGCGGGCGGCGCGGGCGGCUGCGUGCUGCCGGCUGGCCCAGCCGCGCGCCGGGAGGAGCCGCCGCCGCCGCCGGGUGCCACGUGGCGGGCGCCGGGCCGGGAGCGCCAGGGCUCUGGCGGCGGCCUCCCUGGGGGAUUUGCCGCGCAGGGCGGGCGACGCACACUGCCCCGGCCGGCCAGCCGGCCGCCGCCGCCGCUCUUCCUCCCUCCAGCUCUCUUGCCCGGGUCGCCUACCCUCUCCACCCUUCCCGCCUCAGGGAGCUCGGCACACUGCUGAGGGGCAGCCCAGGCAUUUCGUUUGAUGUCGCCCCUUCCUCCUCCCUUUCCCCCUCCCUAAGCUUGGAGGCUGCUGAAGGCCUGGCACACAUUUCUCAGACACUUCAUUCCUUCCUUCCUCCCAGUUCCCCACUGAGAUAAUGUUGUAAAUGAUUUCACCAGAUCUCCUCCCGGAUGAGAUUCAGUGGUUCCUGAUUCUGGGUGACCUUGUGCAAGCCGCCCUUUUUCUUUCGUUACGAAACGCCACACUAUGCCAGACUAUGUUAAACUCUGGGAUUACCACGUUGAGAGAUACAGUGGCAGCCUACAAGGAGUUUCCAGUCAACUCUGACGGCAAACAGACCCUGAUUUUCUGAUUGAUGACUACGUAUUCCUCUCCUAUUCCCUUCUCUCAGGGCUUAGAUGAUGAUGUCCAGAGAGAUCAGGAGAAAUCUAAAGAAAACACUGAAGCAUACCUGUAUGGGCAACAAUUGGCCUACUUGGUGAAUACAGUGAUCAGUAAGAUAGUUAUUGCCCUCAGGAAGCCCACAGACUAGAGAUGCUAUACUCAUUCCCUGCAGCCUGCCAGAGACGUGGUCUCUGCCCUGCCAAGAACUAUCCUGGGAGAGCUAUUGAAAGAGCCCUUGAAUAAGAGUCCAUAUAUGUUCAUCACAGCAGAAUUCAUAACUGAGACUUCCCACCUGAAGGUCCAUGGAUGAACUCCUGGAGAGCCUAUAAAGCUCAUGGAAUGGAAUUCAAAAUGUGUCUCUUUGAAUACUUUUUGAAAGAAUGAACAAAUGAGUUAUUUUUUUUCCUGAAGAGAAGGUCCAUAGCUUUCAACAAGAGUUUCAAAGCAUUUUGUGACCCCAAAA